GGGGGGGGGGGGGGGCGGGCCGGGGGGGGGCGGGGCGAGCGGGACCGGCGGGGCUGGUGGCGCGGGGGUGCGUGACGCGGGGGAACCUGCCCGUAGGUGCGGAAUAACUCCCCGAAAGGGGUGCUAAUACCGGAUAAUGUCUGCGGCCCAACGAUUUAUCGCCUUUGGAUGGGCCCGCGUUGGAUUAGCUAGUUGGUAGGGUAAAAGCCUACCAAGGCGACGAUCCAUAGCUGGUCUGAGAGGAUGAUCAGCCACACUGGGACUGAGACACGGCCCAGACUCCUACGGGAGGCAGCAGUGGGGAAUAUUGGACAAUGGGCGAAAGCCUGAUCCAGCAAUGCCGCGUGAGUGAUGAAGGCCUUAGGGUUGUAAAGCUCUUUUACCCGGGAUGAUAAUGACAGUACCGGGAGAAUAAGCUCCGGCUAACUCCGUG
This 433-nucleotide ribosomal RNA is filed under the name uncultured bacterium. Its description in RNAcentral is "partial 16S ribosomal RNA". It matches the Rfam family "Bacterial small subunit ribosomal RNA", at positions 39 to 507 of the family's 1533-position model. The record is from RNAcentral.